Molecule: ribosomal RNA, 113 nt
Filed under: Oikopleura dioica
Lineage: Eukaryota; Metazoa; Chordata; Appendicularia; Copelata; Oikopleuridae
Source: RNAcentral
GCUUGGCGUCAUACCGCGUAUAAUAAACCAGUUCUCGUCCGAUCACUGAAGUCAAACUAUGACGGGCGGUACUUACAUGGGCGACCGGCUGGGAAUACCUCUUGCGCUAAGCA